UACAGAGGGUGCGAGCGUUAAUCGGAAUUACUGGGCGUAAAGCGCGCGUAGGCGGCUUUGCAAGUCGGAUGUGAAAUCCCCAGGCUCAACCUGGGAACUGCAUUCGAGACUGCAUUGCUAGAGUAUGGGAGAGGGAAGUGGAAUUUCCGGUGUAGCGGUGAAAUGCGUAGAUAUCGGAAGGAACAUCAGUGGCGAAAGCGACUUCCUGGACCAAUACUGACGCUCAUGUGCGAAAGCGUGGGGAGCAAACAGG
RNAcentral lists this ribosomal RNA (253 nucleotides) under uncultured bacterium. Its description in RNAcentral is "partial 16S ribosomal RNA". It matches the Rfam family "Bacterial small subunit ribosomal RNA", at positions 524 to 776 of the family's 1533-position model. The record is from RNAcentral.